AAUGUUUUGGGUUGUCGUAUGCAAUCAUCCAAUUCAAUAACGUUAGGAAAAUCUUAAGGUUAAUUUAAGCGAACCUAAUUAACUUGGGGCAUUGAGAGUUCAUGGUUUAUUGAAAAGCAAUUGGAAACCGUUUUGUAUGCAAGUAUAACAUGUGUGGAGAUGAACCCCUUAGCUAGCCUUCCAUUCACCCAUUUAAAUCA
RNAcentral lists this long non-coding RNA (200 nucleotides) under Malus domestica (apple). RNAcentral's name for it is "long non-coding RNA (MDOM_LNC019521)". Lineage: Eukaryota; Viridiplantae; Streptophyta; Magnoliopsida; Rosales; Rosaceae. The record is from RNAcentral.